This 642-nucleotide ribosomal RNA is filed under the name uncultured bacterium. RNAcentral's name for it is "bacterial SSU rRNA". It matches the Rfam family "Bacterial small subunit ribosomal RNA", at positions 50 to 706 of the family's 1533-position model. The record is from RNAcentral.
AAGGAUUGAAGAUUUAUCUGAUUGAGAUUUUAUAACAAUGGCUUUAGUGGCGGACUGGUGAGUAACGCGUGAGCAACCUGCCUACUAGAGGGGAAUAACAGUGAGAAAUCAUUGCUAAUACCGCAUAUGCCAUGAACAUCACAUGAUGAAAAUGGGAAAAGAGUAAUCUGCUAGUAGAUGGGCUCGCGUCUGAUUAGAUAGUUGGCGGGGUAACGGCCUACCAAGUCGACGAUCAGUAGCCGGACUGAGAGGUUGAACGGCCACAUUGGGACUGAGAUACGGCCCAGACUCCUACGGGAGGCAGCAGUCGGGAAUAUUGCGCAAUGGAGGAAACUCUGACGCAGUGACGCCGCGUAUAGGAAGAAGGUUUUCGGAUUGUAAACUAUUGUCGUUAGGGAAGAUACAAGACAGUACCUAAGGAGGAAGCUCCGGCUAACUACGUGCCAGCAGCCGCGGUAAUACGUAGGGAGCAAGCGUUAUCCGGAUUUAUUGGGUGUAAAGGGUGCGUAGACGGGACAACAAGUUAGUUGUGAAAUCCCUCGGCUUAACUGAGGAACUGCAACUAAAACUAUUGUUCUUGAGUGUUGGAGAGGAAAGUGGAAUUCCUAGUGUAGCGGUGAAAUGCGUAGAUAUUAGGAGGAA